GUCCACGCCGUAAACGAUGGGUACUAGGCGUCGGGGGGAGCGACCCCCUCGGUGCCGUCGCUAACGCAGUAAGUACCCCGCCUGGGGAGUACGGUCGCAAGACUGAAACUCAAAGGAAUUGACGGGGGCCCGCACAAGCGGUGGAGCAUGUGGUUUAAUUCGAAGCAACGCGAAGAACCUUACCUGGGCUUGACAUGCACGGGAAAGCCGGUGGAAACAUCGGCCCCUCUUCGGAGCUCGUGCACAGGUGCUGCAUGGCUGUCGU
This 265-nucleotide ribosomal RNA is filed under the name uncultured bacterium. Its description in RNAcentral is "partial 16S ribosomal RNA". It matches the Rfam family "Bacterial small subunit ribosomal RNA", at positions 793 to 1055 of the family's 1533-position model. The record is from RNAcentral.